UGUUAUUAGGGAAGAACAAGUAUCGGAGUAACUGCCGGUACCUUGACGGUACCUAACCAGAAAGCCACGGCUAACUACGUGCCAGCAGCCGCGGUAAUACGUAGGUGGCAAGCGUUGUCCGGAAUUAUUGGGCGUAAAGCGCGCGCAGGUGGUUUCUUAAGUCUGAUGUGAAAGCCCACGGCUCAACCGUGGAGGGUCAUUGGAAACUGGGAGACUUGAGUGCAGAAGAGGAUAGUGGAAUUCCACGUGUAGCGGUGAAAUGCGUAGAGAUGUGGAGGAACACCAGUGGCGAAGGCGGCUCUCUGGUCUGUAACUGACGCUGAGGCGCGAAAGCGUGGGGAGCGAACAGGAUUAGAUACCCUGGUAGUCCACGCCGUAAACGAUGAGUGCUAAGUGUUAGAGGGUUUCCGCCCUUUAGUGCUGCAGCAAACGCAUUAAGCACUCCGCCUGGGGAGUACGGCCGCAAGGCUGAAACUCAAAGGAAUUGACGGGGGCCCGCACAAGCGGUGGAGCAUGUGGUUUAAUUCGAAGCAACGCGAAGAACCUUACCAGGUCUUGACAUCCUCUGACAACCCUAGAGAUAGGGCGUUCCCCUUCGGGGGACAGAGUGACAGGUGGUGCAUGGUUGUCGUCAGCUCGUGUCGUGAGAUGUUGGGUUAAGUCCCGCAACGAGCGCAACCCUUGAUCUUAGUUGCCAGCAUUAAGUUGGGCACUCUAAGGUGACUGCCGGUGACAAACCGGAGGAAGGUGGGGAUGACGUCAAAUCAUCAUGCCCCUUAUGACCUGGGCUACACACGUGCUACAAUGGAUGGUACAGAGGGCAGCGAAGCCGCGAGGUGAAGCUAAUCCCAUAAAGCCAUUCUCAGUUCGGAUUGUAGGCUGCAAUUCGCCUACAUGAAGCAGGAAUCGCUAGUAAUCGUGGAUCAGAAUGCCACGGUGAAUACGUUCCCGGGCCUUGUACACACCGCCCGUCACACCACGAGAGUUGACAACACCCGAAGUCGGUGAGGUAACCUUUUGGAGCCAGCCGCCGAAGGUGGGAUAGAUGAUUGGGGUGAAGUCGUAACAAGGUAACC
This 1076-nucleotide ribosomal RNA is filed under the name uncultured bacterium. Its description in RNAcentral is "bacterial SSU rRNA". It matches the Rfam family "Bacterial small subunit ribosomal RNA", at positions 434 to 1501 of the family's 1533-position model. The record is from RNAcentral.